CGUACACGGUGGAUGCCUUGGCAGUCAGAGGCGAUGAAGGACGUAUUAACUUGCGAUAAGCCCAGAUUAGGCAGUAAAAGCCACUUGAGUCUGGGAUUUCCGAAUGGGGAAACCCACUAGCAUAAGCUAGUAUCGCUGCGUGAAUACAUAGCGCAGCGAGGCGAACCGGGGGAACUGAAACAUCUAAGUACCCCGAGGAAAAGAAAUCAACCGAGAUUCCGAAAGUAGCGGCGAGCGAAAUUGGACUAGCCCUUAAGCUUUACACGCGUUAGACGAACGGUCUGGAAAGUCCGACGAUACAGGGUGAUAGUCCCGUAGUUGACGACGUGUGUUCAGUGAAAUCGAGUAGGGCGGGACACGUGAUAUCCUGUCUGAAUAUGGGGGGACCAUCCUCCAAGGCUAAAUACUACUGACUGACCGAUAGUGAACCAGUACCGUGAGGGAAAGGCGAAAAGAACCCCUGUGAGGGGAGUGAAAUAGAACCUGAAACCGUGUACGUACAAGCAGUAGGAGCAGGCUUUGUCCUGUGACUGCGUACCUUUUGUAUAAUGGGUCAGCGACUUAUAUUCAGUGGCAAGGUUAACCAUCUAGGGGAGCCGUAGGGAAACCGAGUCUUAACUGGGCGUUUUAGUCUCUGGAUAUAGACCCGAAACCAGGUGAUCUAGCCAUGGGCAGGUUGAAGGUUGAGUAACAUCAACUGGAGGACCGAACCGACUAAUGUUGAAAAAUUAGCGGAUGACUUGUGGCUAGGGGUGAAAGGCCAAUCAAACCUGGAGAUAGCUGGUUCUCCCCGAAAGCUAUUUAGGUAGCGCCUCGGACGAAUACUACUGGGGGUAGAGCACUGUUAAGGCUAGGGGGUCAUCCCGACUUACCAACCCUUUGCAAACUCCGAAUACCAGUAAGUACUAUCCGGGAGACACACGGCGGGUGCUAACGUCCGUCGUGGAGAGGGAAACAACCCAGACCGCCAGCUAAGGUCCCAAAUUACUACUAAGUGGGAAACGAUGUGGGAAGGCUCAGACAGCCAGGAUGUUGGCUUAGAAGCAGCCAUCAUUUAAAGAAAGCGUAAUAGCUCACUGGUCGAGUCGGCCUGCGCGGAAGAUGUAACGGGGCUAAGUAGUAAACCGAAGCUGCGGCAAUACGCAUGCUGGACGUAUCAGAAGUGCGAAUGCUGACAUGAGUAACGAUAAAGGGGGUGAAAAACCUCCUCGCCGGAAGACCAAGGGUUCCUGUCCAACGUUAAUCGGGGCAGGGUAAGUCGACCCCUAAGGCGAGGCCGAAAGGCGUAGUCGAUGGGAAACGGGUUAAUAUUCCCGUACUUCUUACAAUUGCGAUGGGGGGACGGAGAAGGCUAGGUGGGCCUGGCGACGGUUGUCCAGGUUCAAGUGCGUAGGCUU
This 1397-nucleotide ribosomal RNA is filed under the name Vibrio parahaemolyticus. RNAcentral describes it as "partial 23S ribosomal RNA". It matches the Rfam family "Bacterial large subunit ribosomal RNA", at positions 16 to 1527 of the family's 2925-position model. The record is from RNAcentral. Lineage: Bacteria; Pseudomonadati; Pseudomonadota; Gammaproteobacteria; Vibrionales; Vibrionaceae.